Molecule: transfer RNA, 72 nt
Filed under: Ovis aries (sheep)
Lineage: Eukaryota; Metazoa; Chordata; Mammalia; Artiodactyla; Bovidae
Rfam family: tRNA
About the family: Transfer RNA (tRNA) molecules are approximately 80 nucleotides in length.
Source: Rfam by way of RNAcentral
UCCCUGGUAGCUCACAUGGUAAAGCGUCUACCUGCAAUGCAGAAGACCUGGGUUCAAUUCCUAGGUUGGGAA